Molecule: ribosomal RNA, 497 nt
Filed under: uncultured bacterium
Lineage: Bacteria
Description: partial 16S ribosomal RNA
Rfam family: Bacterial small subunit ribosomal RNA
Source: RNAcentral
GAUGAACGCUGGCGGCGUGCCUAGUACAUGCAAGUCGAGCGAACAGACGAGGAGCUUGCUCCUCUGACGUUAGCGGCGGACGGGUGAGUAACACGUGGAUAACCUACCUAUAAGACUGGGAUAACUUCGGGAAACCGGAGCUAAUACCGGAUAAUAUAUUGAACCGCAUGGUUCAAUAGUGAAAGACGGUUUUGCUGUCACUUAUAGAUGGAUCCGCGCCGCAUUAGCUAGUUGGUAAGGUAAUGGCUUACCAAGGCGACGAUGCGUAGCCGACCUGAGAGGGUGAUCGGCCACACUGGAACUGAGACACGGUCCAGACUCCUACGGGAGGCAGCAGUAGGGAAUCUUCCGCAAUGGGCGAAAGCCUGACGGAGCAACGCCGCGUGAGUGAUGAAGGUCUUCGGAUCGUAAAACUCUGUUAUUAGGGAAGAACAAAUGUGUAAGUAACUAUGCACGUCUUGACGGUACCUAAUCAGAAAGCCACGGCUAACUACGUG